RNAcentral lists this long non-coding RNA (322 nucleotides) under Solanum tuberosum (potato). RNAcentral's name for it is "long non-coding RNA (STUB_LNC007238)". The record is from RNAcentral. Lineage: Eukaryota; Viridiplantae; Streptophyta; Magnoliopsida; Solanales; Solanaceae.
CCCAUAAUUGCAGAAAAAGGUUGCAUCCCUCGAAAAACAUUCGACCAUCGACGCAUGCUGACAGACUCCUCAUUAUUUCCGCCAAGAUCAUGGGUACUAGGGUUUUCCUAGGUUCGCCCUCUCUUUGGCCUAAAUCUCGAACCACAUAACCCAAGCGUGUAUCAAUCAUUCCCCUUAUCUUAGGAAAAACCAGGGAUCCUAAUAGGGCAAUGGCAAAGGCAUUUAGGCGAUAUGUUUCCCAUUCCUCGACGGAGCAUUCAAACCUAUCAAUAAAAGAGUAAUAACUAUCAUCUCGGCCAAAGCGUGAAUACAGAAAGUCGAA